GGUCUGGGGAGGGUAAUCUUAUGCAUGUGUAAAGAACUCACUUGUUUUGUUUGGAAUGGACCCAUGUGUCCAAAAUGUCUCCCUCAUAGAGUCAUUUAUUCUUGAAUUUCCUUCAUUAAAUGAUGAUCUUUUAUUUCUGGACUCCUGUUAAAGCGCAGGAGUUCUGAGAGAUAUAAAUUCACACCAAAGUAAAAAAAACUAAUAUCAACUGAUAUCAACACUUUCCUGAAAAAAACUCUUCUGCUACUGAGCUGACUAUAAGAAUCUGGAAGAAUUCAUUCUGAAAGGAGAAAAGGACACCAAUAUUUAGGAAGUGCCGAGGACACAUUUCUCUUUAUCGUCAAUUUGGCAAGGACUGACGCUGACAAGAAAGUUGGCAGAAGUUUCCCCCAAUAUUUUCAGUCUUAUACCCCAUCCUUUUACCUGUAACCUGGUAGGCAAAUAGUCUGGUAAGCAAACAAUCUGAUUACAGCAAAAUCACUCUCUGUGGCUGUUCGACAGCUAUAAGCUUUAAAUAUAACGAAUGAUUCUUCCUCUGUAUAGAUCCCUUCGCUUGGUAAGACACACCGUGACGUUGAGAAUACCUAAAAGUGGUGAUGACAGCUGCAUUAAAAAGCGGCACUUCUAACUGUAUCUUUGCUAAUGGGGUGGGUGCACCUACAGCGUGACUGCCUGGUGGUCUCAGCCUUCCUGUUCAUCACGUUGAGAAGAUCUGAGAACGCCAGGGAAGGAUUGUGCAGUGCUACAUGAGAUUUAUCUGAAAAGCACUUAUGCUUCAUUGCGUUUGCAUUUACCAGCUCGUGAAAGUGAAAGCACUGCCAUUACGUGGUACUCUAAUGGAAAAACCUCUCAUUUCGUAGACUCUAGCAGGUUCUGAACAGAGGGUUUCUGCUGCUCAAGUGGUAAGUACUCCAUAGGCCUGUCCCUUGAAUUUAUCACAUAGGAAUCAAGGUCAUACUUUACAUAAAACACAAAGCAGUUUUUGCCAGCUAAAGUUUAGUCUACAUAGGUAGAAUAAGAGGAAAUUUGAUAGAAUCAUAGCCAGAACAUUUAGGCGAAAUGAUUACUCUUGUCUGGAUUAAUCAGGAUAAGGGAUUUCUCUCGUUAAAUAAUGGCUUUAUCCGGGUUAUUUAAAUAGCCCCAUUAGUAUUUUUAACUGAGACCUUAUUUUAAGAAUAGAGUUUUUUUUAAAAAAAAGAGGGUUAAUUUUUAAAUUACUAAGGAAACACAUAGUUAACAAAAAAUAAUUACACAAGAUGUUAAAAUUCACUUGUUCAGCAGAAAAAAUACUAACCAAGAUAUAUAUGGAUCUUUCAGUACCAAGCAAUACAGAAUCCUUUUUGGUCCUAAUUUACCUGAAGAAUCUUUUUGCCAUCACUUAAAAGACUUUCAUGUAGUCAAAAUCAAUCUCUCACACUCCCCUGGACCAUUUUGUUGAUUUCUGACAUCCCACAUAUGCAAAAUCAUUUACUCAAAGUGACUAGAGAAGUGGAAAAAUUAGAGUUUCAUGGUUUACGAAUUGGAAUUUAUACAGAUUUUACAGCUUUGCUUUUAAAGAAAGGAAAAUGUUUUCUGCAGUUAAGAAAUCACUCCAACAGAUGGGCCUAUCUCCUCUAUUUUUAUUUCUAGUUGGCUUACGGGUGAAUUACCCUGGCCAUAGUUAUAAAUUUGAAAUUAUAGGAACUGCUGAGGGGUGAUUUUUUUUUUUUUCCUGCCUAUAAAAUACAAUGAGGACACAGCUGCAGCAUCUAGAAAGUGAGAGAAGCUAAAACCAUAAAAAUAAUACUGUUUCCUCUUCCUUGUUUUGGAUGCAAGAGUGAGCUUAUCUGGCUUCCCAUUAUUUAUAAUGAUUAAUCUAAGGCCACAUUCCCAGAAGAGUAAUUAGCCAGUCAAUUACUUCAGUGUGAAUCCAGCAUUUCUGAUUAAGUGUAACUUUACAAUUAGAAGUGGCCAAACAUUCAAUAAAGCAUAGUACAGUGUAUCUUUUUAUACUGAGGUAGAGAGGCUAUAGGAGAACACAGAAAUAUCACAGGAAUAUCACAGGAAUAACUGGGUGAUGUAACUCCACUGAAAAGAGAUCUUGGCACAACUGUGCGUAGCCUAUUAAAUAUAGUAGCACUGAAAUUCUAUUAAUCUUUCUACAUAUGUGUUUAUUGGGUUUUUACAUGUUUUUGGCCUACUACACGUUCAGUCUGUAUCUACUUUGCAUGUUAUUUUUAGCAAGUUUUUCAUUAAGAGAGAACACUUCUUUUUUUUUUUUUUUUUUUUUUUUUUUUUGUCUUUUUGCUAUUUCUUGGGCUGCUCCCGCAGCAUAUGGAGGUUCCCAGGCUAGGGGUCCAAUCGGAGCUGUAGCCACUGGCCAACACCAGAGCCACAGCAAUGAGAGAUCCGAGCCGCGUCUGCGAUCUACACCACAGCUCACGGCGACAUCGGAUCAUUAACCCAUUGAGCAAGGGCAGGGACCGAACCCGCAACCUCAUGGUUCCUAGUCGGAUUCGUUAACCACUGCGCCAUGACGGGAACUCCAAGAGAGAACACUUCUGAUAUUUGAUAUAUUUCAGGCUACCUACCCUUCUCCACUAUCUCCCAAUCAUCUCUCAGAUAGUGGUGUCAGCAGUAAGGUUCUGAAUAGCCAUGUUCAAAAAUAUUAAUCCUCUGAUAAAAUCCUUUAAGAACAAAUUCCCCAGAAGCCACAAGAUCACACUGAAGCUCUUUCACACGGCAUGAGGCUUUUCUUGGUCUGCAUUUUGCUUACCCUCUUAGGCUUUCUGAUCCAGCAAAACUAAGAGAAAUGGUAAUAGCAGAAAUUGUUGUUGUAAUAAUAGCAACCAUUUAUCGAGCAUCAAUUGCAUGAGAGAUAAAAUAUUCAAUAAUUAAUCUCAUUUAAUGUUCAUAGUAACACCACGAGGCAGGUAUUGUUACUCCCAUUUUACAGCUAGAAGAAGGGGGCUCUAAGAUACGAAGUAACUCAUUCAAGUAUUUGCAGUUCCUAAGUAGCAGACCUAAGGUUCUUCUCUUCAUCUCUUUGUUAUACCCUGACUAGGCCAUGCUCUUUCAUGCCCUUAGGCAUUUUCACAUUUUCUUUCAUCUUACUAUAGGACCAUUCAGUGCCUUGCUCACCUUGUUCACUUUAGAAACUACUGCUCAUUCUUAAGGUUUUCUCUAUGACAUCUUCUCUGACCUGCCUCCCAGGAAAAGUAAUCCAUCUUCCUCCCUGUCUCCCACAGUUCUGGCAGACGCAUGCACACAUACCCAUUACCACACUCUUCAUUAUGCUUUAUGAUAAUUUAUUUGUAUAUGUAAAUAUCUGUCGCUUCAGUAAGCUGUGACAACCCUCCAUUAAUCUUGAAACAAGACAAAAGUAUCCAACACAUUUUCACCAAGUUAAUAGAUAAAUGAGUGUAUUUCCAAGGAAUGGAGGUACAGCAUUAGCUGUGGGGCCAUGGACCAUCAAAAGGGAAUUCAAAAAGCAGAACGACAUUCAAGCAGCUUUGCAAGCACUCUAAUAUGUGAUUUCUGGUAUCUCCUGCUCUCUUUCUUCACUAGUUUCUACCAAGCUUGAUUGCAAAUUUUUCUCAGACCUUGGUUCUUAUCCUGAUCUCAUGCUUUUAGUUAAAACCCCUUUUUGACAUUAGAUAAAUAAAAAAAUGUACACCUAUUAGUUUUCUCUCAUUUUCCUGUAGCUGGCUCAGGUGAUCUUGAUUCUAAGAAUCUUCUUUAAUUUCUAUCAAUGAACAAUAAAACAUAUUUCUUUGCACCUAAUAUGAGCUAGGGAUUGCUUGGAUGAAAAAUAAAAACAAAAACAAAGCCUAUGGUUUUAUAAAGCAUAUGUUCCAGCAGUGAAAACAAAAAAAAUAUAGAAACAAACAAGAAAUAAAUAUUACAAUUUCUAGGACACACUGUGACUUCUAUGCAAUAUAGCCCUCUUCAGCAUUAGCUGUGACUAUGCUUGGAAAUAUAAUGCAAUUUAAAUACUGGCUAAUCUACACAAGUAUAUGUACAUCACAUUUUAUUUUAAACCAUUAUCCGCUUCCUGAUCAAUGGAAAGAACAAAAAGAUGGGUUAAGUGAAAAACAGAUAGUAAGAUAACAGAUUUAAGCCUGACCAUAUCAAUAAUCACACUAAAUGUAAAAAUGCAUAAAUUCCCCCAGUUAAAAGGCAGAGAUUACAUGCAUUAUCAACAAGAAACAUACUUUAAACAUUAAGAUACAAAUUAAAGAGGAAAGAUCAAGAUGGCGGAGGAGUAAAACAUCACGUUCACUUUCUCCCACAGACACAUCAAAAAACACAUCUACAUGUAAAAUGAUUCGCAAAGAACAUCUACUGAGCGCUGGGAGAAGAACUUAAAAAUCUAAAAAGGACAAGAAACUCUUGACAUAACUCGGUAGAACAAAAGAAGAGAGAGAGAGAGAGAAAAGGAAUCGGGACAGGACUAGCAAUCCUGAGAAAGAGCGGUGAAGGAGAAAAGGAACCCACAUCCGGGAAGCCACCUAACCAACAGGGAGAUCAGCCAAGACAGAGGGGCCUCAAAGUCACCGAGAAAAGUGCAGCAGCUGGACUGAGGAAGGCAAAGUAGAGGGAGAGCCACACAGACCAUCAGCACCACCUCCCCAGACACCACAGCCUGAGACACCUGGACAGGGGCUGGGCAGCGAGACUCAGGCUUGGAGGUCAGUUCCAGGGAGAGGCCAAGGGUUGGCUGUGUGGGACAGCCUAGGGAGCAGUGUGCCAUGGGCAGGGGAGCACUGUGCUACAGGCUGGGGAGUGGAAUGCCAUGGCAGAGGAAACCCGGGAGGAGGUCUGGGCCCAGAGAGGCAAGGUGCCAUUGCUGGGGAAGGUGAGAGGAGGAGGAGCGGACCACCAUAAGAACUGCUCUGUGCAUGCACUGGCUCUCAGAGGACAGAGAGCCUCUGGCACAGGUGGCGAGAAACCACUAGCUCAGGCUAUGGGAGACUGGGCACUUCUGUGUGGGCUGUGGGUACCUGGGCACCUCUUGUGUGGGCUAAGGGCAGUGGGGGGCUAAGUGCAACGUGGUGCCUCUUGCAUGAUCUACA
This 5054-nucleotide long non-coding RNA is filed under the name Sus scrofa (pig). Its description in RNAcentral is "lncRNA (ENSSSCG00045024161.1)". The record is from RNAcentral. Lineage: Eukaryota; Metazoa; Chordata; Mammalia; Artiodactyla; Suidae.